GUGCCAGCAGCCGCGGUAAUACGAAGGGGGCUAGCGUUGCUCGGAAUCACUGGGCGUAAAGGGCGCGUAGGCGGACUCUUAAGUCGGGGGUGAAAGCCCAGGGCUCAACCCUGGAAUUGCCUUCGAUACUGAGAGUCUCGAGUUCGGAAGAGGUUGGUGGAACUGCGAGUGUAGAGGUGAAAUUCGUAGAUAUUCGCAAGAACACCAGUGGCGAAGGCGGCCAACUGGUCCGAUAACUGAUCGCUGAGGGCGCGAAAGCGUGCGGGAGCAAACAGGAUUAGAUACCCUGGUAGUCC
RNAcentral lists this ribosomal RNA (296 nucleotides) under uncultured microorganism. RNAcentral's name for it is "partial 16S ribosomal RNA". It matches the Rfam family "Bacterial small subunit ribosomal RNA", at positions 505 to 796 of the family's 1533-position model. The record is from RNAcentral.